CGCCCCUUUUUUUUUGUUUUUCUCCAUGCACAAGACCUCUCUUUUGGGUGUCAUUAUCUGAUAGAAAUUUGUUCUUAGCCAUCCCAAGAUUGUGGAAUUUUAUAGGUAUAAAAGAGUUUCAAUUUGAAUAGGAGAUAGAGUCCAAAGAGCCUUGGACUCUAUUCUCUUUGUGCUGCCCAUAUACAAUCAGAUCUCAACCCAAUUUUUACAUGGUAAAUCAAGAAAAAAAUCCUUCUUUCUUACACACUAAAUAGGGGAGGAGAAGUGGCAUUAAUUCCUAGUAGGCGUGGGUUUAUUUAGGCACACAAAUCAGGUUUAAGUUUGGAUUCCUUUUGGCAC
RNAcentral lists this long non-coding RNA (339 nucleotides) under Elaeis guineensis (African oil palm). Its description in RNAcentral is "long non-coding RNA (EGUI_LNC049563)". Lineage: Eukaryota; Viridiplantae; Streptophyta; Magnoliopsida; Arecales; Arecaceae. The record is from RNAcentral.